GAACGCUAGCUACAGGCUUAACAYAUGCAAGUCGAGGGGCAGNAUGGUCUUAGCUUGCUAAGACUGAUGGCGACCGGCGCACGGGUGAGUAACGCGUUAUCCAACCUUCCCCAUAGUAGGGAAUAGCCCGGCGAAAGUCGGAUUAAUGCCCUAUGUUCUUCAAUGCAGACAUCUAGGUUGAAGCAAAGAUUCAACGCUAUGGGAGGGGAUGCGUCUGAUUAGGUUGCAGGCGGGGUAACGGCCCACCUGGCCGACGAUCAGUAGGGGUUCUGAGAGGAAGGUCCCCCACAUUGGUACUGAGACACGGACCAAACUCUACGGGAGGCAGCAGUGAGGAAUAUUGGUCAAUGGGCGCGAGCCUGAACCAGCCAAGUAGCGUGCAGGAAGACUGCCCUAUGGGUUGUAAACUGCUUUUAUGCGGGAAUAAAGUCAGGUACGUGUACCUGUUUGUAUGUACCGCAUGAAUAAGGACCGGCUAAUUCCGUGCCAGCAGCCGCGGUAAUACGGAAGGUCCGGGCGUUAUCCGGAUUUAUUGGGUUUAAAGGGAGCGCAGGCUGGAUUUUAAGCGUGCUGUGAAAUGUACCGGCUCAACCGGUGACGUGCAGCGCGAACUGGAGUCCUUGAGUGAGUACGACGUCAGCGGAAUUCGUGGUGUAGCGGUGAAAUGCUUAGAUAUCACGAAGAACCCCGAUUGCGAAGGCAGCUGACGAGUCCUUAACUGACGCUAAAGCUCGAAAGUGCGGGUAUCGAACAGGAUUAGAUACCCUGGUAGUCCGCACGGUAAACGAUGGAUGCCCGCUGUUUGCGAUAUACGGUAAGCGGCCAAGCGAAAGCGUUAAGCAUCCCACCUGGGGAGUACGCCGGCAACGAAGUAAACUAAAAGGAAUUGACGGGGGCCCGCACAAGAGGAGGAACAUGUGGUUUAAUUCGAUGAUACGCGAGGAACCUUACCCGGGCUUGAACUGCAGCAGACGGAUCCAGAGAUGGUGACCUUCGGGGCUGCUGUGGAGGUGCUGCAUGGUUGUCGUCAGCUCGUGC
RNAcentral lists this ribosomal RNA (1038 nucleotides) under unidentified rumen bacterium 12-115. RNAcentral describes it as "bacterial SSU rRNA". It matches the Rfam family "Bacterial small subunit ribosomal RNA", at positions 31 to 1065 of the family's 1533-position model. The record is from RNAcentral. Lineage: Bacteria; Pseudomonadati; Bacteroidota; Bacteroidia; Bacteroidales; Bacteroidaceae.